RNAcentral lists this ribosomal RNA (253 nucleotides) under uncultured bacterium. RNAcentral's name for it is "partial 16S ribosomal RNA". It matches the Rfam family "Bacterial small subunit ribosomal RNA", at positions 524 to 776 of the family's 1533-position model. The record is from RNAcentral.
UACGGAGGGUGCAAGCGUUAUCCGGAUUUACUGGGUUUAAAGGGUGUGUAGGCGGGGCUUUAAGUCAGUGGGGAAAUCUCCGAGCUUAACUUGGAAACUGCCAUUGAUACUAUUUGUCUUGAAUACUGUGGAGGUCAGCGGAAUAUGUCAUGUAGCGGUGAAAUGCUUAGAUAUGACAUAGAACACCAAUUGCGAAGGCAGCUGGCUACACAAAUAUUGACACUGAGGCACGAAAGCGUGGGGAUCAAACAGG